Cavia porcellus (domestic guinea pig) is the source of this 1899-nucleotide long non-coding RNA. RefSeq lists it as uncharacterized. Lineage: Eukaryota; Metazoa; Chordata; Mammalia; Rodentia; Caviidae. The record is from RefSeq and is a predicted model, not a curated record. The transcript has 6 exons.
GUCUCAGAAUGACUGCACAAAAAUAAAACUGGUAAUAAAAAUAGUUUCACAUAAAGUUAUCUACCCUAGUGGUUUUUUCAGUGAAUGUUAUUGUCAUGGUUUAUGGCUGUGUCCCCCAGGCCUCAUGAGUUUGCAUUGUGUAUUUGUGAUGGGUUCAUUGUCUAGUGCCUGGGUUGAUGGUGUCAGUGCUCCACCCACCUAGGGGUGGAGCCAGGAUGUGAUGUAAUGGCAGGAAGAAGGUGUAUCUUGCUCUUUGCCAGUUCUGACUUGCUGUUUGCAGCCUCCAUGAAAGGCAGCCCAGCCAUGCCGGCCUUCCUUGGAGCCAACUGAGUGUGGAUUUAAACCUCCAAAAACUAGGGAACUACCUGAUUCCCAUUGAUCCCUACCAGUGGAAGAAAGUUUUAAGCACAUACAACUCUCCUAGAAAAACCUCAUGAAGAUAAGGGACUGAAAGGAACAGAAAAUUUCAUACUUCCAGAAAAGAAGCAAAGAAUAUUGGAGAAAAUGGUUUGGAAGUAAAAAAGCUGCAAAAGGAGGACAGUGUGGUUCCUGGCUUAUCUCAGGACGUCGACCUUGGAAACCAUGGCUUUUUCUGCCCUAUUUCAAGUCUAUGGAUACAGUACUGAGAACAUGUGUGUGACUAGACCACCAGGCUAACCUGUAUAGAGAAUACACUUAAAGAGAAGAACGAAGUAGAAAAUUGUUAAAGGAAAACACUGAGGUGAAUCUUAUGCAAAUGGGAAGAGAACCCAGAGCUUGGAGAGAAGGAGGAGAAGGGGACAGAAGAAGAGGCAUCAUGUUUUCUGCUGAGUCUUCAACAACAAAAGGUAACAGGAAACUGGACGAAGUGGGGCACACCUGCAUCAGUGCUCUGGGAGCUGAGGACUAUGGGAAUGGAGGACUCUGGGAGCUGAGGAUUCUGGGAGCUGAGGACAGAGCAUUAUGAGUUACAAUGCAGCUGCAGCCUUGCUACCUUAGUGAGACCCUAUCUCAAAUGUAAAAAACAAAAAAAGAAAAAGAAAAAUAGGGAAAAAAUAAAAAGAUAUUCAUUUCCUCAUACUUGAACACUUCCUCACAUAAAUGUAUUUGUUCUGAUUUCGAUUUUGCUUAGUCAUCCUGUUUUUAAGGAACACAAUUAAUGUAAUUUAAAUGAUCUGAAAAUUUAUUUCUUAUAAUUGCUAAGUAAAAUUACACUUAGAUAUAAAUAUAUUUCAAACAGUCUCAUUGCAGGGCAAGAUUCAUACUCUUUUUUUCAAAGAUUAAAUUUCACAGAGUAAACCCUGGGAGAUACUAUUGUAUCUAUUGGAGGUGAAGCAAUAAUAUUGGCUCAGUGAAUGUAGUUAAACAGAACUGAAUUCUCAUUAUCAAAUCACUAUUCUCCUUGAUUUUUUUCACACACAAAGAAUUGCUUGUGUAAGUACAUAAUAAACAUUUUUCUUGUGUUUGUUAUAUAUAAGUAUUCAUUUUUAUAUUAAACAAAAACCCUACAUACUAAGUCUCAUUUUUAAGACUUAAAUGAGGUAUCACCUUUGUUCUGGCCUCUCCCUUUUGCAUUUUCCCUUCAAAAUCUUUUUUGAUACCUCAGGCUUAGAUGUCCUUUCUUUGUAAUUUUAUAAUACUUUGUCAAUACAUUUAUGCUGGCAUGCUCCAUUUUGUAUAUUUUGUAUAAUUACUUAGUCUGUGACUGUCACCUCCUCUAGAUUAUUAAUGUAGCAAAGAUCAUGAAUUAUCAUGAAUAUUUGUUAAAGAAGAAAUGUCUGUGCCAUAUGCUUGAUUUCUAACCAAUUAGGCUAGGACUCAGGGAUAGGUGAUUUACCAGUGAAUUUCGGAUUUGAAAUCUCUUUUUAAAAUGAGAUAUUUAUAGAAUUUAAUAAAUAGUUGAAGAAUGAAUAUCCUGAA